GUAAGCUUCAUGGGCAAAGAAGGAUGGAUUAUUGGCAAGCCUGCAAUUUUGUUGCACACUUCUGAUGCUGGAGACAGCUGGGAAAGAAUACCCUUGAGUGCCCAGCUUCCUGGGAACAUGGUAAGUUUGCAUAUACAUCCGUGUUGUCUGCGCUUUAACAAGGAU
RNAcentral lists this microRNA precursor (165 nucleotides) under Oryza sativa (Asian cultivated rice). Its description in RNAcentral is "miR2918 stem-loop (osa-MIR2918)". The record is from miRBase by way of RNAcentral. Lineage: Eukaryota; Viridiplantae; Streptophyta; Magnoliopsida; Poales; Poaceae.